This 1443-nucleotide ribosomal RNA is filed under the name uncultured bacterium. RNAcentral describes it as "16S ribosomal RNA". It matches the Rfam family "Bacterial small subunit ribosomal RNA". The record is from RNAcentral.
CAGGCUUAACACAUGCAAGUCGAGGGGCAGCAUGGUCUUAGCUUGCUAAGGCCGAUGGCGACCGGCGCACGAGUGAGUAACACGUAUCCAACCUGCCGUCUACUCUUGGACAGCCUUCUGAAAGGAAGAUUAAUACAAGAUGGCAUCAUGAGUCCGCAUGUUCACAUGAUUAAAGGUAUUCCGGUAGACGAUGGGGAUGCGUUCCAUUAGAUAGUAGGCGGGGUAACGGCCCACCUAGUCUUCGAUGGAUAGGGGUUCUGAGAGGAAGGUCCCCCACAUUGGAACUGAGACACGGUCCAAACUCCUACGGGAGGCAGCAGUGAGGAAUAUUGGUCAAUGGGCGAGAGCCUGAACCAGCCAAGUAGCGUGAAGGAUGACUGCCCUAUGGGUUGUAAACUUCUUUUAUAAAGGAAUAAAGUCGGGUAUGGAUACCCGUUUGCAUGUACUUUAUGAAUAAGGAUCGGCUAACUCCGUGCCAGCAGCCGCGGUAAUACGGAGGAUCCGAGCGUUAUCCGGAUUUAUUGGGUUUAAAGGGAGCGUAGAUGGAUGUUUAAGUCAGUUGUGAAAGUUUGCGGCUCAACCGUAAAAUUGCAGUUGAUACUGGAUAUCUUGAGUGCAGUUGAGGCAGGCGGAAUUCGUGGUGUAGCGGUGAAAUGCUUAGAUAUCACGAAGAACUCCGAUUGCGAAGGCAGCCUGCUAAGCUGCAACUGACAUUGAGGCUCGAAAGUGUGGGUAUCAAACAGGAUUAGAUACCCUGGUAGUCCACACGGUAAACGAUGAAUACUCGCUGUUUGCGAUAUACUGCAAGCGGCCAAGCGAAAGCGUUAAGUAUUCCACCUGGGGAGUACGCCGGCAACGGUGAAACUCAAAGGAAUUGACGGGGGCCCGCACAAGCGGAGGAACAUGUGGUUUAAUUCGAUGAUACGCGAGGAACCUUACCCGGGCUUAAAUUGCAGAUGAAUUACGGUGAAAGCCGUAAGCCGCAAGGCAUCUGUGAAGGUGCUGCAUGGUUGUCGUCAGCUCGUGCCGUGAGGUGUCGGCUUAAGUGCCAUAACGAGCGCAACCCUUGUUGUCAGUUACUAACAGGUUCCGCUGAGGACUCUGACAAGACUGCCAUCGUAAGAUGUGAGGAAGGUGGGGAUGACGUCAAAUCAGCACGGCCCUUACGUCCGGGGCUACACACGUGUUACAAUGGGGGGUACAGAGGGCCGCUACCACGCGAGUGGAUGCCAAUCCCCAAAACCUCUCUCAGUUCGGACUGGAGUCUGCAACCCGACUCCACGAAGCUGGAUUCGCUAGUAAUCGCGCAUCAGCCACGGCGCGGUGAAUACGUUCCCGGGCCUUGUACACACCGCCCGUCAAGCCAUGGGAGCCGGGGGUACCUGAAGUGCGUAACCGCGAGGAGCGCCCUAGGGUAAAACUGGUGACUGGGGCUAAGUCGUA